This 22-nucleotide microRNA is filed under the name Branchiostoma lanceolatum (amphioxus). RNAcentral describes it as "Bla-Mir-281_5p (mature (guide))". Lineage: Eukaryota; Metazoa; Chordata; Leptocardii; Amphioxiformes; Branchiostomatidae. The record is from RNAcentral.
AGGAGAGCCGUUCUGUGACUGU